GACGAACGCUGGCGGCGUGCUUAACACAUGCAAGUCGAACGGAAAGGCCCUGCUUUUGUGGGGUGCUCGAGUGGCGAACGGGUGAGUAACACGUGAGUAACCUGCCCUUGACUUUGGGAUAACUUCAGGAAACUGGGGCUAAUACCGGAUAGGAGCUCCUGCUGCAUGGUGGGGUUUGGAAAGUUUCGGCGGUUGGGGAUGGACUCGCGGCUUAUCAGCUUGUUUGUGGGGUAGUGGCUUACCAAGGCUUUGACGGGUAGCCGGCCUGAGAGGGUGACCGGCCACAUUGGGACUGAGAUAGGGACCAGACGGCUACGGGAGGCAGCAGGGGGGAAUAUUGCGCAAUGGGCGGAAGCCUGAUGUAGCAACGCCGCGUGCGUAAUGACGGGCUAUGGGUGAUGAACCGCUUUCGCCUGUGACGAAGCGUGAGUGACGGUAAUGGGUAAAGAAGCACCGGCUAACUACGUG
RNAcentral lists this ribosomal RNA (468 nucleotides) under uncultured bacterium. RNAcentral's name for it is "partial 16S ribosomal RNA". It matches the Rfam family "Bacterial small subunit ribosomal RNA", at positions 28 to 507 of the family's 1533-position model. The record is from RNAcentral.